UUCAUACUCCCUCAGUCUGGAAUUGCUUGUCGCAUAAAUGGAUAAAAACAGAUGUAUCUAGAACUAAAAUACGUCUAGAUACAUCCAUUUCUCUGACAAGUAUUUCUGGAUGGAGUAUUUA
Molecule: non-coding RNA, 121 nt
Organism: Triticum urartu
Lineage: Eukaryota; Viridiplantae; Streptophyta; Magnoliopsida; Poales; Poaceae
Source: Rfam